Molecule: ribosomal RNA, 254 nt
Filed under: uncultured bacterium
Lineage: Bacteria
Description: partial 16S ribosomal RNA
Rfam family: Bacterial small subunit ribosomal RNA
Source: RNAcentral
UACGUAGGGGGCAAGCGUUGUCCGGAUUUAUUGGGCGUAAAGAGCUUGUAGGCGGUUUGUCGCGUCUGCUGUGAAAAUCCGGGGCUCAACCCCGGACUUGCAGUGGGUACGGGCAGACUAGAGUGUGGUAGGGGAGACUGGAAUUCCUGGUGUAGCGGUGAAAUGCGCAGAUAUCAGGAGGAACACCAAUUGCGAAGGCAGCUCGCUGGGACGUUACUGACGCUGGAGACGCGAAAGCGUGGGGAGCAAACAGG